RNAcentral lists this ribosomal RNA (439 nucleotides) under uncultured bacterium. RNAcentral describes it as "partial 16S ribosomal RNA". It matches the Rfam family "Bacterial small subunit ribosomal RNA", at positions 339 to 795 of the family's 1533-position model. The record is from RNAcentral.
CUACGGGAUGCUGCAGUGAGGAAUAUUGCACAAUGGGGGGAACCCUGAUGCAGCAACGCCGCGUGGAGGAUGACGCAUUUCGGUGUGUAAACUCCUUUUAAAUGUCAAGAAAAUGACGGUAGCAUAUGAAUAAGCACCGGCUAACUCCGUGCCAGCAGCCGCGGUAUUACGGAGGGUGCAAGCGUUACUCGGAAUCACUGGGCGUAAAGGACGCGUAGGCGGGUUGGAAAGUCAGGUGUGAAAUCCUACAGCUUAACUGUAGAACUGCACUUGAAACUUCUAAUCUAGAGUAUGGGAGGGGGAGAUGGAAUUAGUGGUGUAGGGGUAAAAUCCGUAGAUAUCACUAGGAAUACCUAAAGCGAAGGCGAUCUCCUGGAACAUUACUGACGCUAAGGCGUGAAAGCGUGGGGAGCAAACAGGAUUAGAUACCCUUGUAGUC